ACUCACAUUCCAGCCAAUCAGCAGCAGACCCUCCCUCCCAGACCCUCCCACCUCCUGGACAGCAUCCAUUUUGAAGCUGCAUUCUUAGUGAGCUGUCCAGGAGGUGGGAGGGUCUGGGAGGGAGGGUCUGCUGCUGAUUGGCUGGAAUGUGUCU
This is a non-coding RNA of Pelobates cultripes (western spadefoot toad), 154 nucleotides long. The record is from the annotation of a GenBank genome assembly. NCBI's taxonomy places the organism in Eukaryota, Metazoa, Chordata, Amphibia, Anura, Pelobatidae.